RNAcentral lists this ribosomal RNA (506 nucleotides) under uncultured bacterium. RNAcentral's name for it is "partial 16S ribosomal RNA". It matches the Rfam family "Bacterial small subunit ribosomal RNA", at positions 29 to 523 of the family's 1533-position model. The record is from RNAcentral.
AGUGAACGCUGGCGGUAGGCCUAACACAUGCAAGUCGAACGGCAGCACAGAGGAGCUUGCUCCUUGGGUGGCGAGUGGCGGACGGGUGAGGAAUACAUCGGAAUCUACUCUGUCGUGGGGGAUAACGUAGGGAAACUUACGCUAAUACCGCAUACGACCUACGGGUGAAAGCAGGGGAUCUUCGGACCUUGCGCGAUUGAAUGAGCCCAUGUCGGAUUAGCUAGUUGGCGGGGUAAAGGCCCACCAAGGCGACGAGCCGUAGCUGGGCUGGGAGGAUGAUCAGCCACACUGGAACUGAGACACGGUCCAGACUCCUACGGGAGGCAACAGUGGGGAAUUUUGGACAAUGGGGGCAACCCUGAUCCAGCCAUGCCGCGUGAGUGAAGAAGGCCUUCGGGUUGUAAAGCUCUUUAGUCCGGGAAGAAACGGCGCAGUCGAAUAAACUGCGCUAAUGACGGUACCGGAAGAAUAAGCACCGGCUAACUACGUGCCAGCAGCCGCCGUAA